UACGUAGAAGACUAGUGUUAUUCAUCUUUAAUAGGUUUAAAGGGUACCUAGACGGUAUAAUUAGUCUAAAAUAAGAUACGGUUAUACUAGAGUUAUAUAUGAGGAGGUGAGUAUUUAUGGAGUAGAGUUGAAAUUCUGUCAUCCCAUAACGACUGGUAACGGCGAAAAGCAACCUUUUAUCUAAUAACUGACGUUGAGGGACGAAGGCUCGGGUAACGAACAGG
Molecule: ribosomal RNA, 224 nt
Filed under: uncultured bacterium
Lineage: Bacteria
Description: partial 16S ribosomal RNA
Rfam family: Bacterial small subunit ribosomal RNA
Source: RNAcentral